This 2616-nucleotide ribosomal RNA is filed under the name Klebsiella quasipneumoniae subsp. similipneumoniae. RNAcentral's name for it is "bacterial LSU rRNA". It matches the Rfam family "Bacterial large subunit ribosomal RNA". The record is from RNAcentral. Lineage: Bacteria; Pseudomonadati; Pseudomonadota; Gammaproteobacteria; Enterobacterales; Enterobacteriaceae.
GUUAACGAGGCGAACCGGGGGAACUGAAACAUCUAAGUACCCCGAGGAAAAGAAAUCAACCGAGAUUCCCCCAGUAGCGGCGAGCGAACGGGGAGCAGCCCAGAGUCUGAAUCAGCUUGUGUGUUAGUGGAACGGUCUGGAAAGUCCGACGGUACAGGGUGAUAGUCCCGUACACCAAAAUGCACAGGCUGUGAACUCGAAGAGUAGGGCGGGACACGUGGUAUCCUGUCUGAAUAUGGGGGGACCAUCCUCCAAGGCUAAAUACUCCUGACUGACCGAUAGUGAACCAGUACCGUGAGGGAAAGGCGAAAAGAACCCCGGCGAGGGGAGUGAAAAAGAACCUGAAACCGUGUACGUACAAGCAGUGGGAGCACCUUCGGGUGUGACUGCGUACCUUUUGUAUAAUGGGUCAGCGACUUAUAUUCUGUAGCAAGGUUAACCGUAUAGGGGAGCCGCAGGGAAACCGAGUCUUAACUGGGCGUUAAGUUGCAGGGUAUAGACCCGAAACCCGGUGAUCUAGCCAUGGGCAGGUUGAAGGUUGGGUAACACUAACUGGAGGACCGAACCGACUAAUGUUGAAAAAUUAGCGGAUGACUUGUGGCUGGGGGUGAAAGGCCAAUCAAACCGGGAGAUAGCUGGUUCUCCCCGAAAGCUAUUUAGGUAGCGCCUCGUGAACUCAUCUUCGGGGGUAGAGCACUGUUUCGGCUAGGGGGUCAUCCCGACUUACCAACCCGAUGCAAACUACGAAUACCGAAGAAUGUUAUCACGGGAGACACACGGCGGGUGCUAACGUCCGUCGUGAAGAGGGAAACAACCCAGACCGCCAGCUAAGGUCCCAAAGUCAUGGUUAAGUGGGAAACGAUGUGGGAAGGCACAGACAGCCAGGAUGUUGGCUUAGAAGCAGCCAUCAUUUAAAGAAAGCGUAAUAGCUCACUGGUCGAGUCGGCCUGCGCGGAAGAUGUAACGGGGCUAAACCAUGCACCGAAGCUGCGGCAGCGACACUAUGUGUUGUUGGGUAGGGGAGCGUUCUGUAAGCCUGCGAAGGUGACCUGUGAGGGUUGCUGGAGGUAUCAGAAGUGCGAAUGCUGACAUAAGUAACGAUAAAGCGGGUGAAAAGCCCGCUCGCCGGAAGACCAAGGGUUCCUGUCCAACGUUAAUCGGGGCAGGGUGAGUCGACCCCUAAGGCGAGGCCGAAAGGCGUAGUCGAUGGGAAACAGGUUAAUAUUCCUGUACUUGGUGUUACUGCGAAGGGGGGACGGAGAAGGCUAUGUUAGCCGGGCGACGGUUGUCCCGGUUUAAGCAUGUAGGCUGGUUAUCCAGGCAAAUCCGGAUAAUCAAGGCUGAGGUGUGAUGACGAAGCACUACGGUGCUGAAGUAACAAAUGCCCUGCUUCCAGGAAAAGCCUCUAAGCAUCAGGUAACAUCAAAUCGUACCCCAAACCGACACAGGUGGUCAGGUAGAGAAUACCAAGGCGCUUGAGAGAACUCGGGUGAAGGAACUAGGCAAAAUGGUGCCGUAACUUCGGGAGAAGGCACGCUGGUGUGUAGGUGAAGCCCCUGCGGGUGGAGCUGAGACCAGUCGAAGAUACCAGCUGGCUGCAACUGUUUAUUAAAAACACAGCACUGUGCAAACACGAAAGUGGACGUAUACGGUGUGACGCCUGCCCGGUGCCGGAAGGUUAAUUGAUGGGGUUAUCCGUAAGGAGAAGCUCUUGAUCGAAGCCCCGGUAAACGGCGGCCGUAACUAUAACGGUCCUAAGGUAGCGAAAUUCCUUGUCGGGUAAGUUCCGACCUGCACGAAUGGCGUAAUGAUGGCCAGGCUGUCUCCACCCGAGACUCAGUGAAAUUGAACUCGCUGUGAAGAUGCAGUGUACCCGCGGCAAGACGGAAAGACCCCGUGAACCUUUACUAUAGCUUGACACUGAACAUUGAGCCUUGAUGUGUAGGAUAGGUGGGAGGCUUUGAAGCGUGGACGCCAGUCUGCGUGGAGCCAACCUUGAAAUACCACCCUUUAAUGUUUGAUGUUCUAACGUUGGCCCCUUAUCGGGGUUGCGGACAGUGUCUGGUGGGUAGUUUGACUGGGGCGGUCUCCUCCCAAAGCGUAACGGAGGAGCACGAAGGUUAGCUAAUCCUGGUCGGACAUCAGGAGGUUAGUGCAAUGGCAUAAGCUAGCUUGACUGCGAGCGUGACGGCGCGAGCAGGUGCGAAAGCAGGUCAUAGUGAUCCGGUGGUUCUGAAUGGAAGGGCCAUCGCUCAACGGAUAAAAGGUACUCCGGGGAUAACAGGCUGAUACCGCCCAAGAGUUCAUAUCGACGGCGGUGUUUGGCACCUCGAUGUCGGCUCAUCACAUCCUGGGGCUGAAGUAGGUCCCAAGGGUAUGGCUGUUCGCCAUUUAAAGUGGUACGCGAGCUGGGUUUAGAACGUCGUGAGACAGUUCGGUCCCUAUCUGCCGUGGGCGCUGGAGAAUUGAGGGGGGCUGCUCCUAGUACGAGAGGACCGGAGUGGACGCAUCACUGGUGUUCGGGUUGUCAUGCCAAUGGCACUGCCCGGUAGCUAAAUGCGGAAGAGAUAAGUGCUGAAAGCAUCUAAGCACGAAACUUGCCCCGAGAUGAGUUCU